GUCCCUGUAGCGCAAAGGAUAGCGCGUUGGACUUCUAAUCCAAAGAUUGUGGGCUCGAAUCCUACCCGGGACG
RNAcentral lists this transfer RNA (73 nucleotides) under Trichonephila clavipes. It matches the Rfam family "tRNA". From Rfam's summary of the family: Transfer RNA (tRNA) molecules are approximately 80 nucleotides in length. Lineage: Eukaryota; Metazoa; Arthropoda; Arachnida; Araneae; Nephilidae. The record is from Rfam by way of RNAcentral.